This 1131-nucleotide long non-coding RNA is filed under the name Bemisia tabaci. Its description in RNAcentral is "lncRNA ENSSSA2NGG001501". The record is from RNAcentral. Lineage: Eukaryota; Metazoa; Arthropoda; Insecta; Hemiptera; Aleyrodidae.
AUGAGGAUUCAGACAUGGAAUGGUCAGACUCUUCAGCAUCACAAACUUGGUGGUCUACAAAUUGGUCUACAAGAUGGAAGCAUGUCGUGCGUGUCACAAGUAUCUGGUUGUGACACUUCUUUUCAAAUCAACAAACUGCAGACUGAGAUACUCGUCCACGAGCAAAGAUUUUCUUUGAGUGGUGUGAUUCGAUACAAAAAUGAUUCGGCACACUAUGUGGCAUAUGUUCGGAAAAUGAAUGGACAUUGGGAAAUACAUGAUGACCUAAAGGAUGAGCCCCAGCUCAACCCAUCAACAAGCAAACACAUAAAUCUUAUCUUCUAAUUUAUACUGAAAUAUGGACAAAAUUGUCAAGACAAAUCAUGGACAAAUCGUACAAAUUCCUUCGAACUGAACAUAACCUAUAAUCAAAAUAACAACACCAAUAGGCAAGUUCUAGUAGCAACAGCCGCCAUUCGGUGGUCAGCAAUCUCCAGUGUUGCACAACAGCGGUCACCGCUUAUGAAAAAAAACGCCCCUCAAGAGCCUCUGAGAAGUUUUGAAACUUUCAGCCGUACUUUCUCUGCGCUUGUAAGUCUGAUUGUCAAUAUUUUUGGCUCAAAAAUCAAGCAGAAAAUAAUCUAGAUCUUGUGGAUCUGCUUUUUGGAAUUUGAACAAUAUUAUCUCAGUAAUCGUCGAAGGAAAGUGAAAUUCUCAGUGGCGACUGGUGGCGCUAUCUCUAAUCUUGAAAUAUCCCUAAUCGAACCCUGGAUUCACCUUAAUAGUAUAAAUACGUCAUACAUUUUGAAUGAUUUCCCUCCCCUUCGAAGAGAAAAUUCCAAAUUUUUGGAAAUUCUUUUUCCAAUUAUAAAUCAAGUUCAUAAUAAUUAAUCCGCAACGGUGAUAUGUUAUGAAAAAAUUCAUAUUUGUUAAACUUGCUUCAUUUUUCCAUUAUGCUCAUUUUCUCACUAUUUGGACACUACUCUUUUCUCUUGAUUUUGUUUCUCCUCUUUCCGCAUAUUUACCCUCGAUGCUUCGAUGUUUCGUUUCUUAAAACCGCCAAGUCAGUCUUUCUUAAUCGGUGCUUUGAGGGCAUUCAGAACAUAUUCUAACGUUCCUCUUUUCAAAAGGUUGAAAGGUUAAGGACCAAAA